CCGGACGCACGGGUGAGUAACACGUGAGUGACCUGCCUUUUAGACUGGAACAACUUACCGAAAGGUAAGCUAAUGCCGGAUGAGUUAUAUAAGUGCAUGUUUAUAUAGGAAAAGUUGGGGAGACCUGACGCUGAAAGAUGGACUCGCGUCCCAUUAGCUAGUUGGUAGGGUAAUGGCCUACCAAGGCGACGAUGGGUAGCCGGCCUGAGAGGGUGGCCGGCCACACUGGGACUGAGACACGGCCCAGACUCCUACGGGAGGCAGCAG
RNAcentral lists this ribosomal RNA (267 nucleotides) under uncultured bacterium. RNAcentral's name for it is "partial 16S ribosomal RNA". It matches the Rfam family "Bacterial small subunit ribosomal RNA", at positions 94 to 354 of the family's 1533-position model. The record is from RNAcentral.